RNAcentral lists this ribosomal RNA (324 nucleotides) under uncultured eukaryote. RNAcentral describes it as "partial 18S ribosomal RNA". It matches the Rfam family "Eukaryotic small subunit ribosomal RNA", at positions 1470 to 1796 of the family's 1831-position model. The record is from RNAcentral.
CCCUUAGAUGUUCUGGGCCGCACGCGCGCUACACUGAUGCAUUCAACGAGUUUCUUCCUGGUCCGAGAGGAAUGGGUAACCUUUUGAAAGUGCAUCGUGAUAGGGAUAGACUAUUGCAAUUAUUGGUCUUCAACGAGGAAUUCCUAGUAGACGUAGUUCAUCAGACUGCAUCGAUUACGUCCCUGCCCUUUGUACACACCGCCCGUCGCCCCUACCGAUUGAAUGCUCAGGUGAGCCAUUCGGACUUUCAUCAUGCUGGUUUCCAGUUUUGAUGAAGGAAAGUCUUGCGAACCUUAUCAUUUAGAGGAAGGAGAAGUCGUAACA